GAUGAACGCUGGCGGCGUGCUUAACACAUGCAAGUCGAACGGUGAAAGAGAGCUUGCUCUCUGGAUCAGUGGCGAACGGGUGAGUAACACGUGAGCAAUCUGCCCCUGACUCUGGGAUAAGCGCUGGAAACGGCGUCUAAUACCGGAUACGAGCUGCGAAGGCAUCUUCAGCAGCUGGAAAGAACUUCGGUCAGGGAUGAGCUCGCGGCCUAUCAGCUAGUUGGUGAGGUAACGGCUCACCAAGGCGUCGACGGGUAGCCGGCCUGAGAGGGUGACCGGCCACACUGGGACUGAGACACGGCCCAGACUCCUACGGGAGGCAGCAGUGGGGAAUAUUGCACAAUGGGCGAAAGCCUGAUGCAGCAACGCCGCGUGGGGGACGACGGCCUUCGGGUUGUAAACCUCUUUUAGCAGGGAAGAAGCGAAAGUGACGGUACCUGCAGAAAAAGCACCGGCUAACUACGUG
RNAcentral lists this ribosomal RNA (466 nucleotides) under uncultured bacterium. RNAcentral's name for it is "partial 16S ribosomal RNA". It matches the Rfam family "Bacterial small subunit ribosomal RNA", at positions 28 to 507 of the family's 1533-position model. The record is from RNAcentral.